GUGAGUAUGCAUACCUCACAGGCGUGACACCUAUUACAAUGUGAAGUUCCCCGUUUCCGCCAGCCACCUACUCCUCCGGGCUGGGAGCUGGCCAUUCUCCGUACAGCCCAGAGUUGGCCAGUGUUUGUCCAAUUCCCUUGUGACAUGAAUUGGCCCACUGACACUUUAUUUCAGUGAUAAUGUAUGCUGGUGUGGUAGCAGAACUUCACCUGCAAUAGAUCACGCCUACCUCUAUACUUUCCUAAUGCAGUCCAGCGGUAUAUAUAGUCAACUGACCGGAUGUUGGCCUCACUCAUGGUGUUCACAUAUGUUUUGGAGGCAUUUCCAUGUGUGACACAAUCUCCCAGGGAAACCUGACCACCCCACGGUGGUUUGACAUUUCUAUUUGCUUUAGUUUUCGUGUGAGCGGCUGGAUUAGUUUAGUCUGAGGCUGCCCCUUGGAAUUGUGGGUAAUGCGUAUCUAAUCUUCUGUAUAUGUCUAUGGUCAGCUUGUCUGGUAGCAUCUCUGGCUGCUGUUGACCUUGUUUUUGGAGUAAGACACGGUGGAAGCUGAAUUAGUGAGGAUGACUCCUGCUCCUGCCAUCUCUAAGCUCCUCACACAUCUUUACCUGCACGUGAGGAAAAUCCCUCCUGUAGAAUGCAGAUGUUCAGAGGGAGAUGAUGCCACAUCUGGUCCAGCCGAUGGAAGGUCUUGAAGUUCUCUGAAGACGGUCCUCAGACUGGAUUUAAGGUUCAGAUGCUCAGGAACAAACUCCACCAAUGAGCCAACAGGGUAGCUUUAGGUUUAUUAAAUGUUGCU
Acanthochromis polyacanthus (spiny chromis) is the source of this 799-nucleotide long non-coding RNA. RefSeq lists it as uncharacterized. The transcript is spliced from 3 exons. NCBI's taxonomy places the organism in Eukaryota, Metazoa, Chordata, Actinopteri, Pomacentridae. The record is from RefSeq and is a predicted model, not a curated record.